RNAcentral lists this ribosomal RNA (261 nucleotides) under uncultured bacterium. Its description in RNAcentral is "partial 16S ribosomal RNA". It matches the Rfam family "Bacterial small subunit ribosomal RNA", at positions 793 to 1055 of the family's 1533-position model. The record is from RNAcentral.
GUCCACGCCGUAAACGGUGGGCGCUAGGUGUGGGUUUCCUUCCACGGGAUCCGUGCCGUAGCUAACGCAUUAAGCGCCCCGCCUGGGGAGUACGGCCGCAAGGCUAAAACUCAAAGGAAUUGACGGGGCCCGCACAAGCGGCGGAGCAUGCGGAUUAAUUCGAUGCAACGCGAAGAACCUUACCAAGGCUUGACAUAUACCGGAAAAGUGCAGAGAUGUGCUCCCCGCAAGGUCGGUAUACAGGUGGUGCAUGGUUGUCGU